GACGAACGCGGGCGGCGUGAUUCACACAUGCAAGUCGAAGAAGGACGCCCAGCUUGCUGGUUGGAUGAGUGGCGAACGGGUGAGUAACACGUGAGUAACCUGCCCCCUUCUUUGGGAUAACGCCCGGAAACGGGUGCUAAUACUGGAUAUUCACUGGCCUUCGCAUGGGGGUUGGUGGAAAGGUUUUUUCUGGUGGGGGAUGGGCUCGCGGCCUAUCAGCUUGUUGGUGGGGUGAUGGCCUACCAAGGCUUUGACGGGUAGCCGGCCUGAGAGGGUGACCGGUCACAUUGGGACUGAGAUACGGCCCAGACUCCUACGGGAGGCAGCAGUGGGGAAUAUUGCACAAUGGGCGAAAGCCUGAUGCAGCGACGCCGCGUGAGGGAUGACGGCCUUCGGGUUGUAAACCUCUUUCGCUCAUGGUCAAGCCGCAGCUUUGGGUUGUGGUGAGGGUAGUGGGUAAAGAAGCGCCGGCUAACUACGUGCCAGCAGCCGCGGUAAUACGUAGGGCGCGAGCGUUGUCCGGAAUUAUUGGGCGUAAAGGGCUUGUAGGCGGUUGGUCGCGUCUGCCGUGAAAUCCUCUGGCUUAACUGGGGGCGUGCGGUGGGUACGGGCUGACUUGAGUGCGGUAGGGGAGACUGGAACUCCUGGUGUAGCGGUGGAAUGCGCAGAUAUCAGGAAGAACACCGGUGGCGAAGGCGGGUCUCUGGGCCGUUACUGACGCUGAGGAGCGAAAGCGUGGGGAGCGAACAGG
RNAcentral lists this ribosomal RNA (751 nucleotides) under uncultured Actinomyces sp. RNAcentral describes it as "bacterial SSU rRNA". It matches the Rfam family "Bacterial small subunit ribosomal RNA", at positions 28 to 776 of the family's 1533-position model. The record is from RNAcentral. Lineage: Bacteria; Bacillati; Actinomycetota; Actinomycetes; Actinomycetales; Actinomycetaceae.